AGAGGGGGAUAACAUUCUGAAAAGAAUGCUAAUACCGCAUGACAUAUCGGAACCACAUGGUUCUGAUAUCAAAGAUUUUAUCGCUUGAAGAUGGACUCGCGUCCGAUUAGUUAGUUGGUGAGGUAACGGCUCACCAAGACCGCGAUCGGUAGCCGGACUGAGAGGUUGAACGGCCACAUUGGGACUGAGACACGGCCCAGACUCCUACGGGAGGCAGCAGUGGGGGAUAUUGCGCAAUGGGGGCAACCCUGACGCAGCAACGCCGCGUGAAGGAUGAAGGUUUUCGGAUUGUAAACUUCUUUUAUUAAGGACGAAAAAUGACGGUACUUAAUGAAUAAGCUCCGGCUAACUACGUGCCAGCAGCCGCGGUAAUACGUAGGGAGCAAGCGUUGUCCGGAUUUACUGGGUGUAAAGGGUGCGUAGGCGGCUUUGCAAGUCAGACGUGAAAUCUAUGGGCUCAACCCAUAAACUGCAUUUGAAACUGUAGAGCUUGAGUGAAGUAGAGGCAGGCGGAAUUCCCCGUGUAGCGGUGAAAUGCGUAGAGAUGGGGAGGAACACCAGUGGCGAAGGCGGCCUGCUGGGCUUUAACUGACGCUGAGGCACGAAAGCGUGGGUAGCAAACAGGAUUAGAUACCCUGGUAGUCCACGCUGUAAACGA
This 658-nucleotide ribosomal RNA is filed under the name uncultured bacterium. Its description in RNAcentral is "bacterial SSU rRNA". It matches the Rfam family "Bacterial small subunit ribosomal RNA", at positions 135 to 809 of the family's 1533-position model. The record is from RNAcentral.